Molecule: ribosomal RNA, 261 nt
Filed under: uncultured prokaryote
Description: partial 16S ribosomal RNA
Rfam family: Bacterial small subunit ribosomal RNA
Source: RNAcentral
UACGUAGGUGGCGAGCGUUAUCCGGAAUUAUUGGGCGUAAAGAGCGCGCAGGUGGUUGAUUAAGUCUGAUGUGAAAGCCCACGGCUUAACCGUGGAGGGUCAUUGGAAACUGGUCGACUUGAGUGCAGAAGAGGGAAGUGGAACUCCAUGUGUAGCGGUGAAAUGCGUAGAUAUUAGGAGGAACACCAGUUGCGAAGGCGGCUCUCUGGACUGUAACUGACACUGAGGCACGAAAGCGUGGGGAGCAAACAGGAUUAGAUA